This 460-nucleotide ribosomal RNA is filed under the name uncultured bacterium. RNAcentral describes it as "partial 16S ribosomal RNA". It matches the Rfam family "Bacterial small subunit ribosomal RNA", at positions 338 to 795 of the family's 1533-position model. The record is from RNAcentral.
CCUACGGGUGGCAGCAGUGAGGAAUAUUGGUCAAUGGACGAGAGUCUGAACCAGCCAAGUAGCGUGAAGGAUGACUGCCCUAUGGGUUGUAAACUUCUUUUAUAUAGGAAUAAAACGAGGCACGUGUGCCUUUUUGUAUGUACUUUAUGCAUAAGGAUCGGCUAACUCCGUGCCAGCAGCCGCGGUAAUACGGAGGAUCCGAGCGUUAUCCGGAUUUAUUGGGUUUAAAGGGAGCGUAGGUGGAUUGUUAAGUCAGUUGUGAAAGUUUGCGGCUCAACCGUAAAAUUGCAGUUGAAACUGGCAGUCUUGAGUACAGUAGAGGUGGGCGGAAUUCGUGGUGUAGCGGUGAAAUGCUUAGAUAUCACGAAGAACUCCGAUUGCGAAGGCAGCUCACUGGACUGCAACUGACGCUGAGGUGCGAAAGCGUGGGUAGCAAACAGGAUUAGAUACCCGGGUAGUC